AAAACUUAGUUAAAAAUAUAACAUUAGUUUGUCAAACUAAAAUAAUCAUCAGAUAGUUUUUUA
RNAcentral lists this transfer RNA (63 nucleotides) under Cassidinae sp. ACP-2018. Its description in RNAcentral is "tRNA-Asp". Lineage: Eukaryota; Metazoa; Arthropoda; Insecta; Coleoptera; Chrysomelidae. The record is from RNAcentral.